UACGGAGGAUGCAAGCGUUACUCCGGAAUGAUUGGGCGUAAAGGGUCCGCAGGUGGCAGUGUAAGUCUGCUGUCAAAGAAUGAGGCUUAACCUCAUCAAGGCAGUGGAAACUACACAGCUAGAGUACGGUCGGGGUAGAAGGAAUUCCUGGUGUAGCGGUGAAAUGCGUAGAGAUCAGGGAAGAACACCGGUGGGCGAAAGCCGUCCUUGCCUGGGUCCUGCACUAGACA
Molecule: ribosomal RNA, 230 nt
Filed under: uncultured bacterium
Lineage: Bacteria
Description: partial 16S ribosomal RNA
Rfam family: Bacterial small subunit ribosomal RNA
Source: RNAcentral